Tympanuchus pallidicinctus (lesser prairie-chicken) is the source of this 7323-nucleotide long non-coding RNA. RefSeq lists it as uncharacterized. The transcript is spliced from 8 exons. NCBI's taxonomy places the organism in Eukaryota, Metazoa, Chordata, Aves, Galliformes, Phasianidae. The record is from RefSeq and is a predicted model, not a curated record.
GGUGAGUAGCGGGAGGCGCCAUCUUGGGGAGGGCGUGGUUUUGUGACAGGGGACAUCUGAGGGCUUCCAGUGGUGAGCUGAAGGAUGAGCGAUCUAAGUGAUUUGAAGUGAUUCAAGGUGGUGAGGGAAAUAAUAAAAGUAGGGCUAAUUCUGAUCAGUAGGAAGGAUUUUAAGGAGGGAGUUCGGAAUGAGGCUGUCAGGAUGGGAUGUUUUCUUCACAUCUAAAGGAUGGGUGCGAGGAGGGAGGAGAGUCUGAAAAACAGAGGGAGGAGGCAAAGGAAAUAACAAAAAUAGGGAUAAAUCUGUUUUAUAGGAGGGGCUUCAAGAUAGGAUCACUUAAAUGCAAUGAAGACGUCAAGUAUGAAGUGUUUUCCUCACAUCUAAAGGAUGCUGUGGAUGGGUUCUUCCAAUUGGCAGUGUAAGGGAGGAGGAUUUGAAAUACAGAGGAAAAAGUAGGUGAGGAAAUAAUAAAAAUAGGUAUAAAUCACUUUUACAGGAAGAAUUUUAAGGAAGGAUCACUUAAAUGCAAUGAAGACGUCAAGCAUGAGGUGUUUUCCUCACAUCUAAAGCAUGGUGGGGAUGGGUGCUUCCAAUGGGAAGUGUAAGGGAGGAGGAUUUGAAAUACAGAGGAAAAAGGAGGGGGAGGAAAUUAAAAAUAGGUCUAAUUCUUAUUAAGAGGAGGGAUUUUAAGAAGGGAUUUCAGACUGAAGCUGUCAGGUUUGAGAUGUUUUCCUCAUGGCUAAAGGAUGGGUGUGAAGAGGGAGGUUAACAGGAGCUUGUUUGCAGCUGGAAAACAAACAUAUUUUCAGGAAUAUUCCUUAAAGUGUAUGUUAGGCACUCUGCUGGAGAUCUGCCAGGACACCAAGCUGCCAUCUGUGCCUGUAGGAACCUCUUCCAUGGGUAUAUCAGAGUUAUACAAACGUUGUUAUCCUAAUAUCCACUCCUGGUGGUUUACAACUUCCCUUAGAAUCAUAGAAACAUUCAGGUUGGAAAAGACCUGUGACAUCACCAAGUCCAACCCCGGCUCAUCCCCACUGUGCCCGCUGAACCACAUCCCUCAAUGCUACAUCUCCACAUUAUUGAACACCUCCAAGGACAGUGACCCCAAUAGGUACCAUUCCAGUGCCUGACCACUCUAUGAGAAGACAUCUUUCCUAAUAUCCAGUGCUAGUCUCUGUGAAAUGGGAGGCAUCUUAACAUGCUGACCAUCUGUCAGCCCUCUGUGCAUUUUAUGAACUGAUAAAUGUAGAAUAACUUCCAUCCCACUGAUGGAAUGAAACAGCCAUCCAUUUUUUUUCUGUUAACAAAUGGAAUAAAGCUGUAAAUGGCUUCCUGGGGCAGGUGCUUGUGACCACACGGCAUCCAUCUGAAGAUGGAAGAAUAUGGGAAGUGUGGUAAGAAGAACUGCAGAGCCAGCUGAGUCGAUUGGCAUGCGUGUCAGGUCAGCUCAGGAUCGAAUGUCCACUCUGCAGAGUCACACUCCAUUUGUUGCCUCUGCAGUGCCCCUGCAUUUCUUCACUCUCACAGCAUGUCGUGGAAAAAAAAAGACACCUCUGCUUUUUGCACGGAUGUCAUCUCAGCCCAUAGACUCAGGGUCUCUGAGAUGCUCUAGGUUUCUGUUACUGGUCUUCUGUGAGUUCAAGUGUGGAUCUGGGCCAAAUGGUGACUUAUGUCAGUUGCCCCUGUUGGAAAUAUCCAAGUAAUGUUUGUCAGGACGGUAUCUCAGAUAAAAGCAGAUUUUAUUUGCGAUUGCAAUGGCAGCGUCCGGCAAGCAGGAGCGCACCUACAGGCACAUCGUGACAGCAUUUAGACCUUGUUUUCUCCCCCUUGCCUCCUCCCCUCCCCUGUUUCCCCACUGGCUGGGUACUCUAGGUUCACAAUGUUAUCAGAAGGUUUACAUUUGCUAUUUACUUGUUAAUUUAUUUGUUAUCUGGUGUCAGUCAGCAGCCAUCCUGUUGUUUCCAAGAUGUGUCGGUGCUUUCCUUGUAUUGAUAUGGUGAUUUUCUUUAAAGUCAUCAUUAAAGAGCACUGGGGGGGGAUGAUGCCAGGCCUUCCGAUGUCUCUUCAGGCACUUCCUCAGGCAGGCCAUCACUUAUUCUCUGGUUUGCUCUCGUGCAGGAUAUUCUUGCAGUGUGUAUGACAAAAUAUACAUCUGUACACCUAGAUACAGAGUGUGUGUGCCUGGGAAGGUUCGUCUAGAGGAUCAGUGAUGUAAACUAUCAGAGAUCUUCCCCAGGUGAAGUAAAAGGACUCCCAAAAAGAACUAUGAUAGCGGAGAUCAUGAAAUAACAAAAAAAUAUUAUCCAAUUCUAAAGCAGAAACAACAUUUGAUUCCCACACCUCUGGUGGGGUUUGCUGCUCCUGGAAGCUCUGCCAGCACAUUCAGACGUGUGGAAGCAGCUGAUGUGGACUAAUAGCUGUGGAAUUCCCUUGUGCUAAUCAGCAGCUUUGGAACAAGGAGCACAAAGAGUUGGGUCUGUGCCUCCGGAGCGGCGUGGUAUAACCCAAACCUCCACAGGAUGAAGGUCGCUUGCUGGUACAUCACAGGGAGGGCAGACUCACGUGAGCCACCAAGAUCUUUUCAUAGCGGCAGGAUGUGAUAACACUGCAACAGCUUCAGGAGGCUCUGGAAUCUCCCACAGUGGAGGUUUUAAAGACAGGUUAGGCAAAUACUGCUCAGGAAUGCUGCAGGUAGAGUUGUACGUGCCUCAGGGAGAGGGAUGGCUGACACAAGGUCCCAUCCAACUGCAUUUUUCAGCCACGUGUCACUAAUUGGUUUGGAAUAAGCAGAUGAAACCGUGAGCUGUUGAAAGCACAUGUUUACAAGGCAAUGGCUUGGGCUGGGCCUAACACAUGCUUUUUUCCUCCCCUCUCUCAAGGAGUUCUUAUCUGAAGGCUGCAGAUUGGACUCAAGCCUCUCAAUGGGGAGGGGCAUGGACAUUCAUUUGAAAUGCACCAGACUAGUCCUCAAGAGGCAGAAUUUCUCAGAGUCAACAAUCUAACUCUUUAUACAGAAUUGAACGACAGUGCAUUUCCCCAGGCUCUCGCUGCCACCCUUGUGUCAUAGGCUCACACUCCUAUGGGAAAAGAGGUGCCAAAAGGCUAACUGGGCUGUCGAGCUGUGUUCAGCUCUGCAUCUGAGACACUGCUGUCCUGAAAUGGGGAGGAAUUCUUGUCCUCUGAACAGGGAUGCCCAAAAGGAGCAGGCUGGGUGAGUUUCUUCUAAUGGAAGAUUAGACAGAGAAUCUCUCACAUGAUUUUAUCCUCUUCAUCCAGGACACUGGAGUCACAGGAGUUUCUGAGCUUUCUGAUACCCAUUUGUAUGUCAGAAUAAUCACAUCCUUUUAGUAAACUAAACUAAACUUUAGUUAACUGAAGAAUCUACACAACUAGUCCAAGCAUAGACGCAGAUGCGUAGAUUUAUAGGAGAUCAAUGCCACGAGCCUCAGUUUUAUGGCUCUCCCAUUUAGCAACAUGGGAGGAGAAAAAGUGCACGUCAGAAGUGCGAAUUGUUACCUUCAACAAAGGUAAAAAACAGACCAAAACAACAAGAAUAGCAGGUUUCAAAAAUGGGACUUAGGAAUGAAAAGCAAAAUAAAAAUAAAAUUAAAAAAAAAAAAAAGAGUGCACUCUGCACUUUCUUAACCGAAAGCUGAAAUGAAGGAAUGUUAGAGGAAAGGAGAUGUAACACGUGUGAGGAAUCAAAGCAUCUGCACUUAGGAGAAAACAGAGCUACUCCUUGGACAUGUUCCGAGGGCACAGUGUAAUUAACAGGUACUCCCAAGGUGUCUGUCUUCAAAAGGUGCCAACGUUUCUUGAUAAGUUAUCUCAGGAGCCAACACAACAGGUGACAGAAGGGCUGCUGCUUUCAAGGACACCCCUUCAGGUCACACCAUUCAGAUGAGUUGAGCAAGCUUAAUAGUUAUUGGAUUAAGGCAGAGCCUCGUGCUAAUAAAGCUGCAAUAUGCCCAAAAAAAAGAUGUCUGCUUGAGCAUUGCUUAUCCUGAAGAACAGAAGCACAGGGUGAGAUUACACAGAAUUAAGAUCACGAGAGGAGGCAAUGCUACCAACAAUAUUAAAAGAAAUAGUAAUUUCAUAAUUUCAGAAGUCAUUUCAUUUUCUUCCGUUCCUGCAAGUCACGUCAGAAGCUUUAAACCAACUAUGCCUCUCUUUAUCAAGCCCUUGUGAAGCAAGGAUGGGAAACUACCAGAAUCCUCACAAGCAAAUGACAUAGGAAAGGAAUUCUCUCCAUAGGUAAGCAUUACAAUUUCAAGAAGACCAGCCAACCUAUGUAACAUUCUGAACUGCAGUUGGAAGAAACCCACAGAAGCUCUCACAUUUUGUGUAAGCAGGGAGGGAGCCAGAUCGUUCCUGGAAUGCAGUGAACAAUUCAAGCUUUUGUAACCAUGCAUUCAAUGAGCGAGUGCUUCAUUAUGUAGCAUCAUGGCUUGGUCCACGAGCAGAUUUAUUUUGCAAACAUUGCAGUCCAACAAAUGAGCAGUUUGCCAUGAAUGUGAAGAUGAAAUGUCAUCUCAGGGUGCGUGGAGGGAAUCUUCACCAGCUGGUUAUCCUGGUACUUUGCAGAACAGGAACCUUACUGAGUGACACAAAAAAAGGCUUCCCAAGAGAUGUACGACCUAUUGGAAUCACCCUAAGGGAAAAGAAAGGUUUUUCUGAGGUUAAAUGUUUGGGGUUUUUUUUCUUCAACUUGCACUAAGUAGUAUUUAACAUUUUGGCUUUCUUCACAUAAUCCAGUUACGCUGGUUGUCCUGCAUUAAAGCAUUAAUGAAGGGCUUCCUUUUAGCUCACAGGACUGCUUGUCCUAUUGCUUUUUGUUUCAGCUCUUAUAAAUAUUCUAACAUUCAACAGUGAUUACUGAUGAACUUUUAAAGCACUUGGUCCAAGCAUUUUCACCAAAGAGCAAACUGCUCCAUUCAUGACAGACAGUCAUGGCCAUCCCAAGGAAGACACCAGGUUACACUAAGCUUUUUCCUCAUUUUUCUUAAACGUUUCUCUUUUUCAGUGCCAAUUGAAAUUCUCUCAAUUCAGUGCCAACAAGAAGAUGGCUUGGACUCCCAAAUUCACCGAAUAGCUCCAGAAAACCACCAGUAACUGGGUAACACACUACAUGCAACAAGCCCCAGCAUCUGGAAUGGAAAGCUUCAAUACCUGCACAUCUGAGAGAGCAACCACUGCUAGGCAACAUUUGGGCAGAUGAGAGUUCCUAACAAUGUCCCAUUCAUCCCAUACAACCAAGAGUGACAACUGAACUCAGUGCAGGACCCUACGUUGCCUGUGUUCAACUGCAUUGCGUUCCUCUCUGCCCAGCUCUGCCUGUCCAGGUGUCGCUGAAUGGCAGCACAGCCUUCUGCUGUGCCACAGCCACUCCUCACAGCUUCGUACCAUCAGCAAACUCUGAGGGUCUAAUGACUGUCCCUUUGAUGAAGAGGGAAAGCUGAGCCCGGCUGAGUGGAGAAGUGAGACCAGGGAACGCUGGAAAUAACAACAGGAUCACCACUCGACACCUCAAUGUCGUCCAAAUGUCGGUGCUGUGAACAUGGUGCAGUACAGAAUGGGGAAACACCUCUCUUGUAAUCUGGGCACAUUACAUGUUUUCAGGGGUAAGUGAUAAGACCUUGCAACCAUACAUUUCCAAUUCUUAAACUUCUCAUGAGUGUUUCCUUUGCUCUAGAAGACACUAACUUUUUCAAUGCUUCUUUCCGUUGCAAGAUCCAGAAGGUUUUGUUGCAUCAGAGAAAGAGAAUCGCUUUCUGAUCAGUGGGAGUAUCAGGCUUCACCGAGGCUGAUGAGCACCUUAUCUCCCUGUUCACACUCAGUGAUGAACUUCUGGCAUUGAGUGGCAAAGGAAAAUGAGGGAUAGUGUUACCCUGUAUCAUAGACUGAGCUUGUCAGGGUGGUGCAGAAGGUGUACUGUAAGCUUAAGAAGUUCCUUGCCAUUUGAAUAGGAGCAGGGCCUUCAGUAUUGGAUGGACAGGGCAUGGCUGUGUUGUGUUUUUGGUGGCUCAACUCCCAUUCUUUGUUGCGCUGCUCGCUGCUCUCCCAUUCCUGCCUGUAUAAGGCCGCAGUAACUGGAGCAGUUUGCUUUCUGAGGUGGAAACAGCCCUGCCAGAACUUUCACUGCUGAGGGAAAGCUCAAAGGAAUCAGAAGCCAAAAAGGACGGGAGAAAACAGGAAAGGAUGUGGUGGUGUGGUUCAGAAACACUCUGCAGACUUUCUAAGUAGAGCAGUUCUGAGUGAGGGUUGGAGAUAAUAAAAGAAAUCAUGAAUGAAAAAUGAUAAAUAACACAAAAAUUCAUAUUUUUACAAUGUUAAUAGAAAAAAAUGAUGUUUAGUUUUUAUUAACAAACCAUGUGGCAUGAAAGAAGCAAUCAUGAUUAUCUCCUUUUAGCAAAAACAACUGGCAAGAUACAUUUUUCUAACUACUCAGGGUAGAAAGAAGUAGCACUAAUGACAACUGCGUCAGCAAUAUUAGAUUGAGCACUCUGAAAUCCCGUGAACUCAGCUGUUGGUUUUCAUAAACACGUUUGAACCUGGCUAAGAAAAACAAGCUGCUGUUUGCACAUGCAAGGCUUUAGAUAAAUAAUUAAGGGAAGUUUGUGCAAACUGGGAGGAUAAUAAGCCUGACCUCAUACAGUCACUGCUGUAGUUACAGUUUGAUAUAUAAAGCGUGCACCAGCUCUGGCAGCUGGCAGGCCAGCCCUUCUCACUGUCAUUAUAAGCUGCUCCAUAAGCUGUGGAAUUAAUGACAUCCUUCCCUUAGGGCAACUGGGGGCCUUGGCUGGGACCUUAAUGGGGUCUCCCCGUCCCCACCCAGCUGUCAACUUUCACAACUCUUCAAGGGAACUUAGGGAAUGUCUUUGACGCCUUUUAUCCUUUGCUCGACUUUGCAUGACGUUGGCUAACCUGUUCAUAAGCUGCUUGUAAGGUCUUUGCCCAUUCUGUCCCUAGGAAAUUAGGCUAAAAACAGAAGGAGAAGAAUCUUCAGGCAGUAAAGAAGACAGCUUGCAGCCACCUGUAGGUUGAAGAAAAAGCUCUGCAUGAUGUUUGCAACAGAAACUGAGCACGCAGCCUUUCCUGGAACCAACAGCUGUGUUCGGGGGAGAUGGAAACCCUCACUGUGAGGGGGGAGGAAUUUCCAAUUGCUCAGGAUGAAAUAUUUCCUAGCACUGCUGGAGAAGCAGCACCUUGGGCUCAGAAGUGCUGGACGCUGCCACCCCACAGCCCCACCUGCCAGCUCUGCGCCAUGGCUGUCGGUGUCCCCGUACUCGAACUCCACGGUGGGGAAAUCCACAGAGCCCUGCG